GAGGAGCCUAGGUUCAGAGUAGCAUCGCACAGACCUCAGGCUGUGCAGUACAAAGGAAGGCUUCUUGGAUGUCAGCACUAUACUCGAGUGGGUCUUCUUGACCAGGGAGAGUACCCACCAGAGCCAACCUGUCCCCGUGCAAGAGUCACACACUGAAAACAAACACGUGAAGCCACCAGGAACUGCAAACAUUGAGUAGAAGCUAGAACUGCUCACAGCUGUAGAGGCCGGGGCAUCCCAGGCUUCGGCAACUAAGGCGUGGCAAAGGCGCAGCUCUUAGGUCUGAAAGUUACUUGUAAUUCCUCCGAGAUUUUCCUGCAUUCGCCAGUAUCACCUCAGCACAGCAGAUCUGAAAUCUGGUCUUCCCGGUUUAGGUGGUUCGUGUCCUCCACAGAUGACAUCAUCAAACUGAAUUCAGGGAGUUGGAGCAACUGUUGUGUUUGAACUAAAAAUGAGUCCUCCGCUUCACAAGGACACACCCAUGUCUUCUUCUGCCUCAAGUUUUCCAAAUAGCACACACAGCUGAACAGCUGAGCUCUACUGACCCAUCUUCAGAGGCAAAGCAGUUGAGCCAGUGCCAGGAGCCCCUGCCAGCCCUGUGCAGAUGCCAGGACACAGAGGCCAGACUCACCUGAGUCUCAAGAGUGCACAGUGGUAAAAACCAGGCAGGUGGAUGGAUGCCUGGACAAGGCAGGAAGUCACUGCUUGGCAGGGAAUUGGAGUACAAACGACAAAGAGAUCAGGUGAGAGAGAGAAAGCUGCUCCCGAAAUCGCAGGCCACUGAAAAUGAUCCCUGAGCCCAUGGGGAGAGCAAAGGAAGUGUGUGAUCUACUUAAAGGCAGAUCUAAAGUUAAUAUAGUAAUAUUUCCACACAGAGCUGAGAGUGUGACCCUUGUAACUGAGUUGCUAUUUAUAUCUCCUCAAGAACAUGCAACACUUCACAGUAGAAAACUAGAAACUGGGGUGGGGGUGGGGCAAGUUGCCCAGGAAGGGACAGGAGAGGCGUUCUGGGGAGUCAGUACACUUCACACCCUGACUGAAGCAUAGGUUACAACAGAUUACACGCAUGCCCAAACUCACAGGAUGAACAACACACUUAAGCUGUCUGCAUUUCAUUCUAGAAAUUUCACCUCAGGUAACAGGAAGUGCUCAGUCAUGAAAAGCAAGGAUUCCGUACUUACAGCUUAUGUUGAAAUACAGUUUAAAACAGAGCCAGCGCUGGCAUGGUGGUGCACACUUGUAAGCCUAGCGCUCAUGGGGCUGAACCAGGAAGGCUGUCAUGAGUUCAAGGCCUAUCUAAAUGAGUGCCAUACUUGGAAAGGCUCCAAAUCCCAACCAUUUUCCAAAGCUCAGCUCAGGCUCAGGCUCCCAUUGCUCUCUAAGCACCCUCAGUGCAGGAAGCUCUAAUCUGAAACAGCCAGAUAGGGAAAUCCCGCUGAGAAAGAGCCCAAGGGUUUCUGUAAGGUCUAAAACUGUACGAACCGACUCUGCCGGAGCUGCGGUAAAGGACUCUGUCUGCCCUUGGAGGUCUGGAACUCUGGAGGUUCCCUGCCAACUCAGCAAUCCAUCAAUGGCUCUAUCAAGCAGACCUGUAGCCUGUAACCCCUAGUCAUUAUUAAAACUGUCUGUGAGAGUUGUGGGGGGGGAUGGCUCACUGGGAAAAGUGCCUACUGGCAGACAUGAGGACCUGAGUCUGAUCUCUAGAACCCACAUAAAAAGCUGGGCAAGGUGGCACAUGUUUGUGAUUUCAGCCCUGGAGAAUGGAGUCACAAGGACCCCUGAGUCCCUCUGGCCAGCCAGCAUAGCUGAAAAUAAUGUGGAAAGACACUGGCGGUGUCCUUGACUGGCCCAAAGGUCAACACACAUGCGCACCCACACACAGAACGAAGCUCUGGUUCUCCUCUGUAAGACACUCCAAAUAGCUGCGGCUCCUUUAUGACUUUUUUAGUUAUCUUUUUUUCUAACUUUACAUUUCCCAGAAAGGAUGGUUGGAUUCAGUUUUUAGCACCGUGAAGCUGGCAGAGACCAGAGACUGCAAGGAAAACUGGCCUGAGGGCUGCUGCAGGAAGGUGGAGCCUCGGUGUGCCCCACCCCCUCCUCAGCCUGUCUCACACACACACACACACACACACACACACACACACACACACACGGUGGCCCGAGCUUUGCCUCCAUGACGCAGCACAAGGCUUAUUCUAGAGAGAACCAGAAGCUGUGGUGCCAAGCUAAAAGGAUGGAUUUAGAAAGCGCCACUGAACCAGACGCACGGCAGCCACCAGACAUCACCCGGAUUUAACUGCCCUAAAAUUAGUUGCAAAGCAGUUAUGGGGACCGAGUGAUUGCGUCAGAGCCCCUGGCUGGCCAGCUGCCAGCAUGAAACACACCCACCGCUUUCUCUAGCAGGGAAACAAUAUUUUGGCACACGGCCAGUUUCAGAGCCCGUCAAAUGCAAGCUUCGCUGUUAACGUUUUCUAAUUCAGUGACAAGGUGGACACAGUCUAUCCGGGCUGCAUCUGCGAGGGUGUUAUUUUCUUUGUUGAACACAUUUAUUCUUCGGAGAUUUUCAGAGCUGAAGAAAUGGCCUCUGAAGGACCAGCAACUCCCAGGCUGGGCUGCUAUUACAGGGCACCCAGCACCCCUGACUGAGAAACGCAGCUCCACCCUCAGCCUUGGCACCCCACUCUCAGUAAGCUAGCUGCCUCCACCACUCCCCAUACCCUCACCUUUCUUUACCCCCCCACCUUCUUUCUUCCUUCUCUUCAAUUUAUCUCUCUUGCCAUGACGUACUGAAAGCUGCCUUGACUUAAGGCAGUUACAGUGUUCAGUACACGACAGAGCACCACAGCUGGACCCAAGAGACCCAGGUUUGAAACAUUAAAAAACGCACAAGAUCCAGGAAGAGCACACUUCUCAUUAAACCACUGUGUCUUUAACAGCAAACAAAUCUCACUGGCCUCAUGAAAUUCCUAUGUAGGAGUUGAAGACACAGCUCAGUUGAUAAGAAGCUUACCGUGUAAGCAUGAGGCCUGAGAUGGAGCCUGUCACCUCAACACACAUACAGUAAGCUUUCCUCAGUGGUAUGUGCUCGUGGUCCCAGAGUUGGGGACGGGGCGACGGCCUAGCUGAAUCAAGUCCCAAACCAAGGAGAGAUCCUGUCCCAAAAAGCCCAAGGUGAGUGUUGCUUGUGGAAGGCUGUCCUCUGGCCUCCACAGGCCUGUGCACACACAGGCAUGCACAGGUGCUCCCCCGUGAGACAGGAGCAAGGAAGAAUAGCAGGAAAGCUUGCACACAGCUGUCUGAAACCGGCCUUGAUUCUCAUCCAGCUCUUCAUUCUCUUUACACGGCAAGCACAGCAGUCUCUUUCAUUCCUACCCAUCGGAACUUUCAAAAUAGAAAUCAGACCUGUGAUUCACAGAGAAGGCCUUAGAAUGGCUCUAAAUAAAACCUGGUAGCCAAUUGGAUGCCCCUACUACUUAUUUGCUGUGGCUCUGCUCAUAGUGUGGAGAGAGGACCAUGGCUCUCAGAUUCCACACAAAAGAGGAGCCACGACUCUGCUGCGGUUAUGGAUGAUGAUGGUUAUGAUGACGAGAGACUCCUGGUAGGCUCUAAGCGCAGCUGCUUGUCACAGGCUGGGGAUAUAGCUCAGGGGGGCAGUGCCUGCCUCACGUGCAGGAGGCCCCGAGUUCCACCCCCAGCACUGCAUAAACCUGGUCUAGCAGAGCAUGUCUGUAACCCCAACAUUCGGGAGAUUGAGUUCAAGACCAGCCUGGUCUAUAUGAGACCUUAUCUCAAAUAAAAGCAAAAACUGUAGGUAUAAUUAAUAAUAUUCCAACGGACUUUGCUAGUCAUCAAUGAAAAACACAUAAGCAAGGGAGCACGGCCUAUAAUCUGCAGACCAAAUUCUCAAACAUCCCCAUUUCUAGAAGGAAUCUUAAGGGUUGAACAGGCAAGGGCAACAGAGUGCUAGAAACUCAGAAUUCAUGUCCCUCCAGUAAGCCGUAUCAAGUAGCCCAAGCCAAGGCUUCCAAGAGAACUUAGCCUUCCCCUCAGCCUCCAACAGGACUAGGGCCACCCUGGGGGACCAAACUGACACUGGGAAAGGAAAAGACAGCCCACCAGCUCAUAGGAGGUGGCAAGUGUGCCGCCUUGCCAAACCUCAGUACUUUGGGCACAGUAUCAGCAGUCUCCCCAGAUCCUGCAGAGCCCUGCUAACCCCUCUGCAGGAACUCCUGCCUCCCACAGCUGCACCUACAUAGCUCAGUGGCAGCCACUUCCUGUGACCCUGGGAAAGAUGCAGGAGGAAGUAGGAAGGCCACUUAGAAUGAGUCACAAUGGAAUCCAUAACUUACUUCAAAAAAAAAAGUCAAGGCACAGAGAGCUCCUUCAUGUCCAAACCCACAACUACAAUCAUUUAACCACAAUGGUCAGGAACCACUCUUGUGGCACAAACUUCGGAAGCCCGGGGAACACAGCAGGGAGGUCCCCGCCCACAGGAUAAAGAUGCUCUAGGGAGGAGACACAGAGGCAAGUGCAAAAAAGUGACAUCAGGAGAGGUGCAAGCCGGAGCUGUACCCUGCUGAGGAGGACAGAGUGGGAGCACGGUAGGUAGCUGGAAGCCAUCUUUCUAUACUCCAGGCCUCCUGUAGCCUAAGCGCUGCCAGGCUACUUGCUGAACUUGUCCUUGUGACCAAACGCCAGGAAGAAGCAGCUUAGGGGAGGAUGGGCUUACUCUGGCUCCCACGGAAUGAGGAUAUGGACGCGCAGCAGUGGCUUGCUCGCAUCUCCAUGGCUCAGGAAACAGGAGCUCAGGCUGGUACUAAUGGCCAAACUGAAACUGUUCCUGUGGGAAACAAGGACAGUUGGGCAUGCAAAACAUUGUGCACACCCAGUGAUCUGCUGUGUGGGUCUCCACAGACUUCUGAGAGGUGUGGAGUGCCUGGUGCCCGAGUGGUUCGCACAGCUCUGCCUUCUCUGUGCUCUGGGGCGCGUUCUGAGUGUGGCACUGUGGAUUCGAGCGGUUAUUACCAUGGUUAUCAGCCAUAAAGCCAGGUCCCAGGAACCCACUUUCCAGUCAGGCCCCAUUUCCUAAAGGUUCUCAAAG
Mus musculus (house mouse) is the source of this 5101-nucleotide long non-coding RNA. RefSeq annotates it as predicted gene, 51602. The record is from RefSeq and is a predicted model, not a curated record. NCBI's taxonomy places the organism in Eukaryota, Metazoa, Chordata, Mammalia, Rodentia, Muridae. The transcript is spliced from 3 exons.